This is a long non-coding RNA of Ictalurus punctatus (channel catfish), 2509 nucleotides long. The record is from Ensembl. Lineage: Eukaryota; Metazoa; Chordata; Actinopteri; Siluriformes; Ictaluridae.
AUUUGGGCAAAGUGUAGAUUUUAUGUUAGUAGUGGGGCCUCCUUUGGUAAUCUUCUUUUGAGAUAUGUCAUGGGCAAUGAAGGGGCUCCAUCUAAUUUUCAUUGCUUUGGUUCUUUGGAGAGAUACAAGUGGAUUCGGAGUGUGGAAUACAACCUCUGUUGUUGAUUGGCAAGCUGGACGCUCUAAUGCAACAUGGAACCAAAAUUUUCACUUCGCUACGCCUGUUCAAGCUUUGGAGCUACUGUCCAGAAAAAGUGCAAAUGGAAAUGUUGACGGAGGAAAUUCUAGUAGUUUCAGUUAUACUUCAGAAGUCCAAACUGCUCAACAGGAUUCUAGUUUUGUUCAGUCUUCUGGUGGUGCUGCUCAAGGUAAACCUGUACUAAAUGCUCAAGGUCAAGCAACUCCCAUGGUUCAACCGCAGGACAACUUGAUGACUCAGUCCUCAAGGCUCUAUUGGUUUGAAUCUCUCAAGCCUGAAAACUGUGGCACUUUGCUCUCUCAAUCUUGGCCUCAAAAAGGUCAGAAUAACGGUGGAUUCCAAAGACCAUCCAGGUUCCAGUUUGGAGGCACUGCAAACCAGACAUCUGGAUCCCAGACCCAGUCGUCAUACCAGCCUAGCACCACAACACAGGUUCAGACAGGCGAGUCUAUUGCCCAGCCUGAGUCUUUCGGAGCUUCAGCUUCAUAUCCAAGUCAAACCUCUGGCAUGUACUCUGUUGUACAGGGUCCUCUGAUUGCAUCCUCUUCCCAAAUGCCUGGGUUCCACAUCCAGUCAUCAUACCAGCCUGGCACCACAACACAGGUUCAGACAGGCCAGUCUGCGUCUACAUCUCAGGCUCAGUCCUCUGGUGCGUCAACGUUGUAUCAAGGGAUUAGCUCUGGCAGGUAUCUGACUUCACUGGGUCAUAUAAUUCCAUCCUCCUCCCAGUCUGUGGUCACUACAAACCAGACAUCUGGAUCCCAGACCCAGUCAUCAUACCAGCCUAGCACUACAACGCUCCUUCAGACAGGCCAGCCUGUUCUUCCUCAGAGUCAGCCUUCGGGAGCUUCUGCUUCAUAUCCAAGUCAAACCUCUGGCGUGUACAAUAUUGCACAGCGUCCAUUGACUGCAACCCUUUCCGAAAUACCUGGGUUCCACAUCCAGUCAUCAUACCAGCCUGGCACUACAACACUGCUUCAGACAGGCCAGUCUGCGUCUACAUCUCAGGCUCAGUCCUCUGGUGCAUCAACAUUGUAUCAAGGAAUUAGGAGGAAUGUGACUUCUCUGGGUCAUGGCUUUCCAUACUCAACCCAGUCUGUGGUGACUGCAAACCAGACAUCUGGAUCCCAGACCCAGUCAUCAUACCAGCCUGGCACUACAACACUGCUUCAGACAGGCCAGUCUGCUCCUACAUCUCAGGCUCAGUCCUCUGGUGCAUCAACAUUGUAUCAAGGAAUUAGGAGAAAUGUGACUUCUCUGGGUCAUGGCUUUCCAUACUCAACCCAGUCUGUGGUGACUGCAAACCAGACAUCUGGAUCCCAGACCCAGUCAUCAUACCAGCCUGGCACCACAACACUGCUUCAGACAGGCCAGUCUGCUUCUACAUCUCAGGCUCUUGGCAGCCCUGGAGCUGCACCUUCAGGACAUGCUAAAUGGUACACCAUUGUACAAGGUCAGACAAUUCCAUCUUCUCAAGCGUCUGAAUCCCAGACCCAGUCAUCAUACCAGCCUAGCACUACAACACUGCUUCAGACAGGCCAGCCUGUUCUUCCUCAGAGUCAGCCUUCGGGAGCUUCUGCUCCAUAUCCAAGUCAACACUCAGGCGUGUACAAUAUUGCACAGCGUCCAUUGACUGUAACCCUUUCCGAAAUACCUGGGUUCCACAUCCAGUCAUCAUACCAGCCUGGCACCACAACACAGGUUCAGACAGGCCAGUCUGCGUCUACAUCUCAGGCUCAGUCCUCUGGCGCAUCAACGUUGUAUCAAGGGAUUAGCUCUGGCAGGUAUCUGACGUCACUGGGUCAUAUAAUUCCUUCCUCCUCCCAGUCUGUGGUCACUACAAACCAGACAUCUGGAUCCCAGACCCAGUCAUCAUACCAGCCUGGCACUACAACACUGCUUCAGACAGGCCAGUCUGCUUCUACAUCUCAGGCUCAGUCCUCUGGUGCAUCAACAUUGUAUCCAGGGAUUAGGAGGAAUGUGACUUCUCUGGGUCAUGGCUUUCCAUACUCAACCCAGUCUGUGGUGACCGCAAACCAGACAUCUGGAUCCCAGACCCAGUCAUCAUACCAGCCUAGCACUACAACACUCCUUCAGACAGGCAGGCCUGUUCUUCCUCAGAGUCAGCCUUCGGGAGCUUCUGCUUCAUAUCCAAGUCAAACCUCUGGCGUGUACAAUAUUGCACAGCGUCCAUUGACUGCAACCCUUUCCGAAAUACCUGGGUUCCACAUCCAGUCAUCAUACCAGCCUGGCACCACAACACAGGUUCAGACAGGCCAGUCUGCGUCUACAUCUCAGGCUCAGUCCUCU